CGUCAGACGUCACGGUUGCAGAGUGAUUGACGGUCUGAUGGCCAAUCAAUGCGUAGAGUUGUGCCAGAUGACCCAAUUGUAUGUCGCGAGGUGGGACAUCCAUUGGAGCUUCGUCGGUUGUCAAGAGAGAAGGUUCCGGAAGCUGCGUCUGCUUUGGAUGGUGGACGUUUACCAAGUCGGUGCUGGGACCCGGGCCCAAGAGCGGGAGGUGGCGAGGCAGCCAUGCCCAGCUCCCUUCUAUGGGCCGUAGAUGUACAUGGCAAAGUGUACACUCUUUCUACAGCCAAUCAGUACUGGGAGUUGUGCAAAGAUGCAAGCUUGGAAUUUAAGAGACUGGCAGCUGUCAAGCAGUGCUGUUGGGGAAUUGCAUGUGACCAGCAAAUCUACGUCUAUGUCCAUAUGAACGAUGUUCCAAUCCGAUACCAAGAAGAGACCUAUGAAAAUCAGCGUUGGAAUCCAGUGGAUGGUUUCAGUGACCACUUGUUACCCAGUGACCGCUGGCAGUGGAGUGAUGUUACAGGAUUGAAGCAUCAACCCCUCAAUGAAUUCAAGCUUGCAUCACAACACUGGGAGUGGGAAUCCAGCUGGUACGUGGAUGAAAAUAUUGGAGGAGAGCCAACAGAAAAAGGGGGUUGGACUUAUGCCCUAGAUUUUCCUGCCACUUAUACAAAAAAUAAGCGCUGGAACUCUUAUGUGCGUCGGCGCCGAUGGAUCCGAUACAGGAGGUACAAGUCAUGCAACACCUGGGCGAAGAUUCCCUCACAAAUUACCGGACCACUACCAGAUCCCUUUCAUGACAUUGCUGUAGGAGGAUGGGAGGUCACUGAUGAGCCUUUGGGACAUCUCUCAGUCUGGGCAGUAACCGUGCUAGGCAAGGUAUUUUAUAGAGAAAAUGUAAAUGAUCACAACCCUGAGGGCUUGUCAUGGACGGAAAUCCAGAGUCCUGGGGAAGUAGUUCAGAUAGCCUGUGGACCAGGUGACCUUGUGUGUGCUGUGCUAUGGGAAGGCCAGCUAAUGAUGAGAACAGGAAUAAACAGGGAGAAUCCUAAAGGGAAUUCCUGGCAAAUUGUUGAAUCACAAAACUCUGGAAAUGGUUUUGUCCAGGUCUCAGUGGGUGUCAACGUGCUAUGGGCUGUUUCACGGGACAGAAAGGUUUGGUUUCGAAGAGGUGUCUGUUCUGAGAACCCUGUUGGAACAGGGUGGAUCUGCAUGAAUAUAGAGAUGAUCAUGGUGAAUGUGGGAUUAAAUGACCAGGUUUGGGGAAUAGGUUCUGAAGACCGCUGUAUCUACUUUCGGCAAGGUGUGACACCGACUGAAUACAGUGGAAAGGCUUGGAAAGUGAUUGUAACAAACCGGGAGCAGGAUCGAUCUUCCUGCGCAGGCAGCGCCUCCAGUCUUGCAAGUGCUGGGUGUUUCUUUGGUGAUGAAGUUCGGUUACCAUCCCAGGUCUCCAUCACCAAUGACGUUGAUUGUUCCUUGGAAAUGGAGGGAGAAGAAAAGGAAACUGAAAACAUUCCUGAAGCAAUUGAGAGAGUGAGGUGUUCCCAUAACAGUGGAGAUGUUGAUUCUUCCUGUCCUGCCAUCCAGUCAAAAUGCAAUGCCGUGACCAAUGUAUUUGAGAACAUCUCAUUAAAUGAAGAAUCUUUAGAAAAGUGCACUCAGCCUGGUUUUGGAUCAGCAGAUCAAAGGCAGUCUCUGCAAGACGGUAUGGAACUGGAUGUUGCUCGCUCUGACUCAAGUCCAGUAAACUUGGAUGUGGCAGAAACAUCCAGUGUGUCAUCAGUGGCAAUUUACCCUUUUGGAAUUGAUGAACAUUGUGUGUCUGAUGAGCAUCCAUUCUGGGCCUGGGUCAGUGGAGGCGGAUGUGAUGUAGAGGCUCACACCCAGCUGAACUGGUUCCACAUCCAGUCAGGGCAAUCAAUUUCCAUGCACUCACUCUCGAUGCCCAGUAGUUUUCCACAGCAGACCGUUUGGAGGAAGCAAAUUGUUCAACAGUUAAUUGAGCGGUCCAAACGAGAGGUGGAUGAUUUUAAGCAUUAUGAACAGGCUGUGGAGCAGUCUGUGUGGAUAAAAAAGGGAACAAUGAAGUGGUGGAGAGAUGGGAAGCCACAUAAAUGGACAGAUGUCAAGGUAGCACUGGAACAGUUCACAGGCAACGAUGGGAAACGGGAUGGAAUAUUUUUCAUAUACUACACAUACAACGAUGAGAAAAAGUACCUUCACUUAUUCCUAAAUGAAGUUACAAUUUUAGUCCCGAUUGCCAAUGAAGCAAAACACUCCUUUGCAAUUUACACUCCAGAACGGACAAAACAGAGAUGGCCAAUCAGAUUGGCAAUGGUUACUGAGCAAGAAAUGUAUGACUGGCUUGCUGUCUUGAGUCUAGCAUGCUGUGACAGUAGGGGAAUCCAGGGACCCCCGUCCCAUCAGGCCCUUUGGUCCGUCACCUGCAAAGGUGAUGUCUUUGUCAGUGAGCCAAGCCCAAAUCUGGAAGCAGCGUCACAUCCUAUGCCAAGUGAUCAAUUGUACUGGCGUCAAAUUGGAGGACAUCUCCGCUUGGUUGAGUGCAACAGUCAAGGAAUUGUGUGGGGCAUUGGCUAUGAUCAUACUGCCUGGGUCUAUACCGGAGGCUAUGGAGGUGGCUUCUUUCAAGGACUGGCCAGCAGUGCAGAUAAUAUUUAUACUCAGUCAGAUGUAAUGUGUGUUUAUAUUUAUGAAAACCAGCGUUGGAAUCCUCUCACCGGAUACAGUAGUAGGGGUCUGCCAACUGAUAGGUACAUGUGGAGCGAUGCAUCAGGUCUCCAGGAAUGCACCAAGGCACACACAAAGCCUCCUUCACAAUGGACAUGGGUAUCUGAUUGGUAUAUUGAUUUCAAUGCACCUGGUGGGACUGAUCGGAAUGGAUGGCAGUUUGCAGCCGACUUCCCGGCGUCCUACCAUGGGUACAAGACAAUGAAAGAUUUUGUGCGGCGGAGGCGAUGGGCAAGGAAGUGUAAAACUGUUACAACGGGUCCAUGGUUCGAAGUUGCACCUAUCGCUCUGCGGGACCUCUCACUGAUUCCCUCUGUGAGUCAGAGUGCCAAUGACCAAGUGGCCCUAUGGGCCAUUAGCAGCAAAGGGGAUGUCCUGUGUAGGAUGGGAGUAACAAAGGAAAAUGCAAUGGGUGUUUCAUGGCUGCAUAUUGGUACAGAUCAACCAUUUGUGUCGAUUUCUAUUGGGGCCUUCUACCAGGUGUGGGCCAUUGCCAGGGAUGGAUCAGCUUUUUACCGUGGCUCAGUUUCCCCACAAAACCCUACAGGUGAUUGUUGGUACCACAUUCCUCCGCCUCCCAAACAAAAGCUGAUACAGGUUUCCGUAGGAAGGACAUCGGUGUGUGCAGUGGAUGAAAGUGGUAAUGUGUGGUUUCGUCAGGGUAUUUCUCCAAGUUAUCCUCAGGGAUCCAUUUGGCAACAUGUCUCCACAAAUGUUCGUAAGGUGUCUGUAGGUCCCAUUGAUCAGAUCUGGAUAGUCGCUGAUAAGGUUCAAGGCAGCCACAGCCUGAGCUGUGGGACAGUGUGUCAUCGCUUAGGUGUACAGCCACAGGAACCCAUGGGUAGCUGUUGGGACUACGGCAUUGGAGGUGGCUGGGAUCACAUCACUGUCAGAGCCAACUCAAUGGACCCUUCAUACAGUCGUGUUCCCAAAACCCCUGACAACGAGCCCGUGAAGCUGACAACCCAGAAUGGAACGGCAGGCACCAAAUCUAAAAACAGUUUAAUAAUCGAGCAGCAGGAACUUGAUCAAAGUGCUGUCAGAUGCUGACAGCUUGUAUCACAAUGUUGCAUGUUCUGCUUUGGUGUUGUUAUUGGUCCAGGCAAUGCCUGAGCUUUCCCAGAGCUGACCUGAGACCACUUACUGCAUUAAGUAAGUAGAAUGGUGCUGUGAGUUUGUGUGUUAGCUAUGUUUGGUGUUAUUUUGCACUGUGGGCAUAAAAAUGCCUAUCACUCUGACUGAACUCCAAUAACAAAUAUGUAGUAUGUUUGGUUUAGAGUGCAAGGCACUGAUACAUCUAAGCCAACAUGGUGUUGGUUUCCAUUUCAUUCUUGCAUUGACCAGACACCAAAACAUUCAUCAUUCUGUCUGUGUUUUAGCAAUGGAGGCCCAGUAAUAUAUUGAUUCCAGCAACUUCUCCAACAGAGAGAAAAAAAAACAACAUAUUUUUGCAGUGGCACCCAUUCACAUGCCUGAGUAAGGACGGGACAACUCACAAGAAGGUACGAAUUUUUGAAAACCACCUCAGAGAUGAACGUAGAAGAACUGGUGGUACGUGCUAGUUAGCACUGCUAACAUUCUCAAACAGGCAAGCCUGCUUUGGGUCAGAGAAGUAUUAACCAAUUUCCCCCGGGAUCAAUAAAGUAUGACUAUGGCUAUGACUAAGUAUUCACUCUAAAUGCAUGUGCAGAGUAUUCAGUGGAACAUCAGUAGUUUUGGUUGCAGAAUUGCAUGGACAGCUUGGGUCCCUGAGGUGGUUCUCAAUGCAGAGAACCGUCAUCUUUAACAUUGCUGUGUGCUUGACUGGCAGAACUUAACUACAGUUGACCAUAAUGGCCAAAUGGCUUGUUUCUGUGAUAACUUUGAGGAAUGUCGUAUCAUUUUUUUAAUGCAUGCAUUUCUAAAUGACAAUAAACGAGGACUGAGUGAACUCAUAAUCUAAUCUAAUCUAAAAACUAACUGACGGAGCACUAACAAUCCACCAGAUUCUGUGAUUUGUUCUUUGGAAAGUGAACACUGGACAAAGUUAAACUAGGUACAAACUCUGCAUGUCCUAUAUAACCCCAGUGCCAAUUUCAGUGGGAACCUAUGGGGGCAGAAUGGAGUCUGUAAUAGCAAAAGCCGCUGGAAAUCUGAAGACCAAGGAAGCGCAGCAGGUCAGGCAGUAUUACUAGAGAGAGAAUCAUUGAAUGUCUCAGGUCCACAUAGCGAUGGAGAUUUUGAAACUGAAACACUGUCUUUUUCAAUAUGCAGACUAUCUUGUAAAUAGAGGAUAACUAAUCAGUAAGGAUGGGUUAGAGAAACUUUCAUCCUUCUCACCACUGCCAUUCUUUUAUCCCACGGAACGGGCAUUUCCUGAGGAUUCUGACAGGCUAGUUUAAGACCAGGAUAUCCAGUGCUGUGGAUGAUUAUAACACAAAAUCCUACUGUGCUUCCAGUGAGGAUACUUGACAAGUGCAUUAACUACUGACAGUUGCAUUGUGAGAUUACAGUGAUCUCUAUACUGGUGUUAUCUAAAUGUUUAUGUACAGUGUGUGGCAUAGAAAUACUUGGUCCAGCUGGCCUAUCCAAUGCUUAUCCUCCAGAGAAACUUCAGUCCUACUCUGUCACCAUAUCCGCCUGUCAUUCCAAUUUUCCUCUUCUCCCACUCUCCCCACAUAUGUUUGUGUGUGUGUGUGUGCGUGUGCGUGUGUGUGUGUGUGUGACCAUAUACAACCCUGAGAUUCAUUUUCUUGUGGGCAUACUCAAUAAUCCACAAUAGAAUAAUAACCAUAAUAGAAUCAAUGAAGGACCACACCAACUUGGGCAUUUAAUCAGUAUGCAGAAGCCAACAAUCCGCAAAUAACAAAAGAAAGAAAGAAUAAUAAUAAAUAAAUAGACAAUAAAUAUCAAGAACAUGAGAUGAAAAGUCCUUGAAACUGAGUCCAUAGUUUGUGGGAACAUUUCAGUGAUGGGGCGAGUGAAGUUGUCUCCUUCGAUUCAAGAGUGUGUAGCUGAGGGGUAAUAAUUGUUCCUGAACCUGGUGGUGUGACUCAUGAGGCUCCUGUACCUUCUUCCUGACGGCAGCAGUGAGAAAAGAGAAUGUGUUAGGUGGUGGGGUUCCUGAUGAAUGCUGCUUUCCAACGAGAACACUUCAUGUAGAUAUGUUCAAUGAUGGGGAGGGCUUUACCUGUGUUGGAAUGGACCGUAUCCACUACCCUGUGUAGGAUUUUUCAUUCAAGGGCACUGGCUGUGAUGCUUUGUACUUUACACCUUGACAUGCACAGAUUUCUUUUUCCUGAUACUUUGUGCUCAAAUGACCCUAUGCUUUUCGGAAUGGUGCAAGAAUCUUGCCCAAGAGUUGAGAAUUGGAGAAUUUCUACCUCAGGAGGUAUCAAGCAUGACUCGGAAUAUUAUACAACAGCUAGAGAAGUGAAAUGCCCAUUAACUAGGCCGGCAGAAGUUAGAUUCAAUUCUAGUCUGCUUGAACUGUUUUAUUAAUGGUUGUGUCUCUUUUUAGAAGUGCAUUGCCUCGUGGUAUUGUGAUCCUGAAGCACAUCAAGUUACAGGGGAUAAGAGCAGUGUAGUAGGAAGAAACUGUUCUCUUGAACCAUUGACCCAUUAACUGCAUACAAAUGUAGUUGGGAAGCUUUGAAGAUGGCUUGCAGCUCACAGAAGAUAUGAAUCCUCUGCAGUGUGUUUGCAGUUUCAACGUUUGAAGACCCUUCCAGCCCUUCGAGCUACACCACCCAGCAACCCCCGACAACUCUGAUUUAACCUUAAUCCAAUCACAGGACAACUUACAGUGACUAGUUAACCUACAGAUACGUCUUUUGACUGUGGGAGGAAACUGGAGCACUCAGGGAAAACCCACACAUUCCAUGGAGGGGACAUACAAACUGCUUACAGAGGACUCUGAUCUCCAAAACCCCGAAGCUGUAAUAGUGUUACGCUACCAUGACAUUGUCUGUGAUGUUUGAUUGAAAAACCAUUUAUUUAACAUCUACUAUUACAUGCAUUCUCUGAAAAUAACCUCAUUUAGACUAUUUAUUUUAUUUGCGACGUACGGGCAUUUUACCUUAAACACAUUUUGGAAAAUUUGGGUAGUCUUCUUAAAAAUAAUGUGAAACAGAAGGGCCAGUAAUUGCUGACUACUGCUGCUACUUUCAGUGUGUGCGUGUUCUUUUUGUAGAACCUCAAUCAUAUCAUUCAUUGUUUUUGUCUGUGUGUUAAGAAGCCAUGUUACUGUAUUGGAAUGUAUACACAAAGCUGGAAAUUGGAAUCAUUUGUGAAUCAUUUAACCAUGAAAUACAAAGAAUAUUGAAAGUUCUGAACAGAAAUGAUGCUCUAUUGAAUCCUUUUACCCAUACGAUUGAUUUCAUUGGAGAUAAAUCAGUUAGUGCACUAUUCAAAUUGUAAUUUUGCCACAAUUGUGAAGUUGUGCCUCGACCGCCGUGAACCUAAUUGUCCCACUAUCAACCCCACCUUUCAGAAGGUCACCAUCACUCCUACACGAUGGGGCUCCCAUUCUGAUUACCUCUGGGAUCUCUAUUUAUUGGUUUGCUAAUUGUCACAAAAGUACUAACUUACCUCACAUUUUUGUCUGCUUUCAGCUGCAGGUUUUGAAAAUCAGCCAGCAAAUAAGUAGGACCUUAGCUAUAAACACACAUAUUAUUGACUUUGAUUUGCAAUACUAAAUUCCUUUUCCCAAAAAGUAAGAAUGCUAAGACAUCAAGUUUCAGAAAUCCAUAGUUCUCCAGAGUGUACGUGAUGGCAUUAACAACCUAUUUGUAUUAAAUGGUGUGUUUAGCAAAUGUAGAUUGAAACAUUGAAAAGUUCUGUGGGUUUUUAUGUGGAAUUUAUAUUUGUCAUCUUUUUUAAAGUGGUUUUAUUCAAUUUGAUUUAUGUGUCUCUUGUUUUUUCUGGAGAAGCCUUUGUGCAAAAGUACUAUUCACCAAACUAGAGUUAAUAGAAUAUUAUAUUGUUUUGCUUCUCUUUGGUAUGGUAUAUGUAAUUAAUAGUGGAUUAUAGUUUAACCCUUGCUCACAACAAAAGCUGGCCAAUCACAUAUAUUGCAAAGAAGUAUUGGAUUUCACUGAUAAAUGUAUAAUGCAUUUCUAUCAGUACUGCAGUGCCUCUGUGAUGGCCCAGUGUAGUUUUGUGUUUGCGUACUGCAAAUAACAGCAACCCAGCACCUUAUAACCAUGCCUACACAUCAUUUGAAAAUGGGGUUCUUGCUGAGAGAGCUGGCUUGAUGAGGAUCUAUCUGACCUGUCCUAGUUACCUAUUUGACUCAUGUGAAAUAUACUCUCAGCUUAAUGAAGAUUUUAGGUGUGCCACAGUAGCAUAGAAGUUAGCGUGACUCUAUUACAGCUAGGGAUGUCAGAGUUUGGAGUUCAAUUUCGGCACCAAAUGUUCUCCCCAUGAUCAUGUGAGUUUCCGCCCACAGUCUACAGGCGUACUAGGUACUAGGUUAAUUGGCCAUUGUAAAUUGACCUUUGAUUAGGCUAGGGUUAAAAAGGUGAGUGUGGCUUGUUGGGCUUGAAGAGUCUAUUCUACACUGUAUCUCUAAAUAAAGUAACAAUUUUAUUAAUUGACAGAUUAAUUUGGUCAUAUCAAAGUUAUUAGCAAAUUCAGACUUUGCUAAUACUGCCUGCAAACAAUCCUAGUGGAAUAUCAAGUUGAAAAUAAUUUAUUUCAUGAAUAAUGGGACAUCUAAUAAUUUGGAUGGAUGUGUUACCACAGGGCAAUAGAAGCUUUGUGGAUAAGGUAGGAUGUAGAUUUUGGUCAUCAUGCAUGUGUAAGUAUGGCAAAUUGGAAAAAUUUCACACUGGACUUCAUCCACUUGUUGCCUCUUGUAUUAAAAUUAUUUAUUUCACUUUCAA
This is an RNA transcript of Mobula hypostoma (lesser devil ray), 8612 nucleotides long. It is a transcript of the gene named tectonin beta-propeller repeat containing 1a, with no coding region annotated. NCBI's taxonomy places the organism in Eukaryota, Metazoa, Chordata, Chondrichthyes, Myliobatiformes, Myliobatidae. The record is from RefSeq and is a predicted model, not a curated record. The transcript is spliced from 26 exons.